RNAcentral lists this ribosomal RNA (404 nucleotides) under uncultured soil bacterium. RNAcentral describes it as "bacterial SSU rRNA". It matches the Rfam family "Bacterial small subunit ribosomal RNA", at positions 26 to 424 of the family's 1533-position model. The record is from RNAcentral.
AGAUUGAACGCUGGCGGCAUGCCUUACACAUGCAAGUCGAACGGCAGCACGGGAGCAAUCCUGGUGGCGAGUGGCGAACGGGUGAGUAAUAUAUCGGAACGUGCCCAGUCGUGGGGGAUAACGCAGCGAAAGCUGUGCUAAUACCGCAUACGAUCUAUGGAUGAAAGCGGGGGAUCGCAAGACCUCGCGCGAUUGGAGCGGCCGAUAUCAGAUUAGGUAGUUGGUGGGGUAAAAGGCUCACCAAGCCGACGAUCUGUAGCUGGUCUGAGAGGACGACCAGCCACACUGGAACUGAGACACGGUCCAGACUCCGUACGGGAGGCAGACAGGUGGGGUAAUUUUGGACAAGUGGGCGACAGACCUGAUCCAGUCAAUCGGCCACGUGCGACGGAUGGAACGGUCCC